Molecule: non-coding RNA, 662 nt
Organism: Nylanderia fulva
Lineage: Eukaryota; Metazoa; Arthropoda; Insecta; Hymenoptera; Formicidae
Source: RefSeq, a predicted model, not a curated record
CAGAAUUCAGAAAACAACUUCUUAAAGAAGUUCAUCUGAUUAAUCUUAAAUUAAAUGAUCUUAUGGAUAACGUGAAUAUACUUGUAAAAAAAGCCCAAUAUGCUGAUGAGCCAGAACUAAAUGAUGACACUAAUACGGCUGUUAUGACUUUAAUACAAUCGUUUCCAGUCGUUACAGAGCAGGAAUUAAUGUCGAUGGAAGAAUGGCUAUCGAGUUCAGCUGAUAACAUACAUGCACUGAGUCAUUAACUGCGUUUAAUUGGAGGCACAGAUCUUCCCCAUGUAAUCAAAGCCAUUAUGUCGAGAGCAAUUUCAAAUGAAGUUGGAAUGCUAUAUUCCUGGGAGGGAGCUCGGCAAAAAAAAGCUUUUAAAUCGCUAAAGUUCGUCCAAGUGAUCAUUGGUGUUGUUCGACUGAACUCCAAGACAAAAUCUGCAACAGAAUCGGAUAUCAUAGAAGUAAUAAAAAAUUGGCUAGUUAGAAGUAAAGAACGCAGUAACAAGUUUCAAUCAAAAAAGAAAACGGAAAACACUGUGUGUCAAACAGAUUCCGUUUGUGAAACAGGCUCUGCUUGUGAAACAGGCUCCGUUUGUGAAACAGGCUCCGUUUCUGAGAAAGACCUUAUUCAAGAUUAAGAUAAUUAUAUGUAUAACUUGCCGAUAUAU